Molecule: ribosomal RNA, 460 nt
Filed under: uncultured archaeon
Lineage: Archaea
Description: bacterial SSU rRNA
Rfam family: Archaeal small subunit ribosomal RNA
Source: RNAcentral
UGCCACUCUUAACGGGGUGGCUUUUCAGAAGUGUAAAAAGCUUCUGGAAUAAGGGCUGGGCAAGACCGGUGCCAGCCGCCGCGGUAACACCGGCAGCUCAAGUGGUAGCCGCUUUUAUUGGGCCUAAAGCGUCCGUAGCCGGUCUGAUAAGUCUCUGGUGAAAUCCCACAGCUUAAUUGUGGGAAUUGCUGGAGAUACUAUCAUGACUCGAGGUCGGGAGAGGCUGGAGGUACUCCCAGGGUAGGGGUGAAAUCCUGUAAUCCUGGGAGGACCACCUGUGGCGAAGGCGUCCAGCUGGAACGAACCUGACGGUGAGGGACGAAAGCCAGGGGCGCGAACCGGAUUAGAUACCCGGGUAGUCCUGGCCGUAAACGAUGUGGACUUGGUGUUGAGAUGGCUUCGAGCUGCCUCAGUGCCGAAGGGAAGCUGUUAAGUCCACCGCCUGGGAAGUACGGCCGCA